AGCAACUCCUGACAAUAAUAAAUUGAGGAAACAAACUUGGAUUUCCUGGAGCUGUGAUGAAUUGCUGACUUGAUUUGAUUCAAUCUGCACGCAGCGCCAUAAGUUGCAGAUGCUUUCGAAAACUGGAUAUCCAUGCCUUUCAGCAUACACACAGUGUGAACUGAGAAGAAAGCGUCCAAUACUGGUUCUGCGCAUUACUGAUGUUCCUGCGGCCAAAAAAGCAUACUGGCUUUCGGACGGGAAUGUCUCUGCAUUAAAUUAUUCAGGGAAUAUCAGCUGCAUGACUCUUGGAUUUCCGUAGCUUGUGAAGGUGAUUGAAAAGCGGUAUAGCUCUAGCAGAUUCUAAGCGUGAGCGCGCAACCAAAACAGGAACGAUAUCUUUGUUACGAUUUUUUUCAAGAUUUUGAGGAGAAUUUAUUGAUAGACGACGCGUUGGUUCGACCGGGUUUGGGCAGACCCAAUUCCUUUUUCAAACAUAGUAGCAACUGCAAGAUACGACAAACCAAAGAAAACUUUAAGUACCUUGGAUGGCUUAACUUGGAUAUCCGUGUCAAUUUUAUAAACAAUGGCAUCACUGAUAAUUUUCAUUACUGUUUUAGCGUUUGAUUUGUGAAGGUAACGAAUCUGAAUUUUGGAAAUCCAAAACAUUGGUUGUGAUGUUAGAAUU
Long non-coding RNA from Paramacrobiotus metropolitanus, 667 nucleotides. RefSeq lists it as uncharacterized. Lineage: Eukaryota; Metazoa; Tardigrada; Eutardigrada; Parachela; Macrobiotidae. The transcript has 6 exons. The record is from RefSeq and is a predicted model, not a curated record.